AUGACUGAGAGCAGAACAGAACACAAUCUUCAUCAUCACACAAGACACAACAACAACAAUGAACAACAUCAUCAUCCUCAUCUGGACUCUCACACUGUUUGCUCAAGAGUGUAGAGGACAGAUCACUGUAACUCAGAGUCCAUCAAUAACAAGACUUACGCAACCAGGACAAGAAGUCAGAAUAAACUGUAAAACCAGCAGUAGAGUGUUCAACAGUGCCUGCAAGUCUUGUUUCUCCUGGUACCUACAGAAACCUGGAGAAACUCCUAAACUUUUAGUGUACUACAUUAAAACCCUCCAGUCAGGAACUCCAUCUAGAUUCAGUGGCAGUGGAGCUGAUCAUGGAACUGAUUUCACUCUGACCAUCAGUGGAGUCCAGACUGAAGAUACAGGACAUUAUUACUGUAUGGCUAUAAACUAUAUAAACAAUAACUGGGUGUUCACUUUUUUUGCGGGUCUAAAACUUUUGUUUGCGACUGGUCCCACAGUGAAGCCCUCAGUGUCUCUGCUGCCGCCCUCUUCUCUGCAGAUCUCUGGAGACUCAGCCGCACUGCUCUGCCUGCUCAGCUCUUACUCUCCACAGGGGGCGCUGGUGAGCUGGACACUGGACGGCUCAGAGGUCACCGAGGGGGUUGUGACCAGCGCAGAGAGCGAGCAGGACGGCCGCUACAGCCGCAGUAGCGUCCUGACCCUCAGCAAAGCACGCUGGGAAGAGGGAGAGCUGUACGUCUGCAGAGUAACACAUGAUGGAGCUCCUCAUGAGGCCUCGUUCCACAAGAGUCUCUGUUAGUCGCUCGCAGUGCUGAUGUUUCUCCAGUGAGCGCUGCUCUCUCCUGAAGAUGAGCGUAUCUGAGUGUCCUGUGUCAGGCAGGAUUCACAUGAGUCUAGUGCUGCAGCUGUAGUCAUUUACAACUCAAUACUGAAAGAGAGCUCUAGUGUCAAAGCACUGGCUGAUCUUUCAAUCUGCUGUGUUUGCUGCAACAUUCAAUAAAGCUUCUCAACAAGCUCCA
This is a non-coding RNA of Sinocyclocheilus anshuiensis, 1010 nucleotides long. The record is from the annotation of a RefSeq genome assembly. NCBI's taxonomy places the organism in Eukaryota, Metazoa, Chordata, Actinopteri, Cypriniformes, Cyprinidae.